CUUGCUACAAACAUGCUAAUUCACCCACCCUCACCCCCCUAUACUCCCUGGAGAGGUUUCCCUGCAGAAUUGAGCAGUGGUGGUGACACUCAGGGCUUCUGGAAGAUCCCAGAGUGCAAGCAGGCUCCUGGAGUUGCUAGCUUCCAUAUACUUGCUAAUUCUCUAUUUUUCUGGGGCUGUAAAUGGAGAUUAAACUAUUACCCAAUGUUUUACCCCACAUGAAUCAUAUCCUAGGUGCUUUUUUUAAAAAAAAAUGUUCCACUUGUACUAUUUUCAAAGAAUUUUCAUGACAAAGCCCGUUUUACAGACUAAAAAACUAAGGCAAAAUGAUACACAAUCAGUGUAGCAUAGAUGAGCUCUAAAAUCAGGGAGUCUGACUUCUGGGCUCAGGCCCUUAAUCACCACAGUAUCAAUAAUAAAACUAGCAUUUAAAUUAAAGUUUAAAAGUACAACUGGUGGAUCUUAUGUUCUUGUCCUUGUUCCUGGCUAAUGAAGUAAACUCUCCAUGUCUCUUGCAGCUCCCUGCUCCCUCUGUGGGGCCUUGAAUUUUAUUGAAAAUAAGAUAGGCCCAAGGGUUACCUUGAGCUUCCAGAAUCUCUGUUUCUUCUUUAAUGGUGAAUAACAGCGCAUUCCUUUCAGAGUUUUGUUUGGAUGACAUUAGAAAGCAGUGUUAAAGUGACUGGCACACUGACUAGCCUUUACUAGGGGCUCAAUCCCUUUUUAUCCCAAAUUUAUCCCAAAUGCAGACUAUAUUCUCCCCACUCAGUCACUUCUCAUCCCCCUGUGGUUUGGAUUUUGCCCUUAGCCACCCCAGGAACUGUUCUGCAGAUAAUAACACAUGCUUCAAGUGUGUUUGAGAGGAUUCAAUGGGAUCAUGUGGGUGAUCUUUGCCUGGCAUAGAGAACAUAGUAGCUUUUGUGAUUAAUAAUGAAGACCUAAUUGCGAAAUUCAAUAGGCCCUGGAAACUCACUCCCUCUUUGAUUUUUCCCUGUGAAUCUUUAGUUGUGUUCCCUCCCCUUUCUGCUGUCUCAAUUCUGUGAGCUGCCUUCCCUAAUGUUUCUCACAUCUUUAUACUCUGCCCUGGGAGAAUGACAAAUCGAGAAGAUUCUUCUCCGCUCCUGCUGUUGAGGUGGUCACCUCUGACCUUUCAAUAUAUAAUUCUGGGUCUCCUACAGCCCUAACCAUCAUUGUCAAAAGUUCAUCCUAUUCCCCUUUCAAAGUGUCCCUGAGACUUGCCUCCCUUAAACUCCUGUGUAUACUUCUUUUGAGACAUUUGUCACUCUGUUCUCAACAUAAUUCAUUGUUUGUAGGAAGCUGUGUUGUGGGGCUGCAGACAACUGUGCAUCCUCAGUGCCCACCUUCAUCUCUUCCUAGUUCUGUAUAGUCCUUUCUCAGUACCUUUACUUUCUCAUUAGCAUAGUGCCUCCAGCAUUGCAAAAGCUUAAAGAGAGAUAGUGGAGACCUGAGAGAAUUAUGUGUCAGUUUUUUUUUUUUUUUCUAAAGAAGACAUCAAUUUUAGUGACCAGUCAUUACAUUCAGAAUAAGCAAAGUAAUGAGGUGAUGUUAAGCAUGUAGAAUAAUCUCUAGCAGGACUCUCAGCUGUAACUGCAAGAUGGUAUAAAGAGUCUGGAUGUGGAAACCAGUUAACUGAAGAUUGCAUUUAGGAGCCAAAUCCUAAACCUACAAUGGCACAUUUGCAACUAAUACACCCAGGAAGAUGGAACAAUGGUUGAAAUGGAUGAAGCCAGCAGCAGCAUGACCAGCAAUGCAAAUAAACCUACUCAUUCACAGCUGUCUGAGUGACCUUUUGGGGAAUUGAAUUGAAAGCAAAUUGAACUGGGGAAAAAAAAAACCCAAAAUCAAAAAUCCAGUCUCUAGUCUGUCAGAACACCUGGAGAUGCCAGUUGAGAUACUUUAAGAGAGAAGCACACAGAGUCUUAGAUCUGGAUGGAUUAAAUGGUUUCCGAAUACUGGAAUAUUUAGAAGCCUCCUCCCUAAAGCAAUUAAUUAAUGAGUAAAUAAAUCAUAGGAUUCAAAAUUUUGGCUGAACAUCAGAUUUCUUUGAUGCUCAGGACCCCUGAAAAGUGCAGCUUUUCAGAAAGAGUAACUUCAGAGAUGAAGGUAUUAGUAGUACAAGUGUCUUGUAUCUAAAUUCUCCAAAACAUCUGAUUAAUGAAUUAAAGUUGCUUUAAUGUUUUAAUAAUAGAACUUUCCUAUUUUAUAUUAGUGCUACUGUUACAAACAGCUAUUAAACCAUAGGACAUACCUCACUCUCUUUUCCUAAACACAAGAAAAGUUAGAAAGACAUGAGUUGAAAACAGCAGCAAACACAAAUUUAGGAUAUUACUGGAUUCUGUUAAGUUUAGCUCUACUUUUGUCAGCAAAAUCCUCUGCGUAUAUGUUUCUGUGAAUACUCUGUAUCUUUAUUUCCAUGAUUUACAUUCAUUGUCUAAAAUCUUCUCACAAAUGAGACCAAAUUCUACUUAUGUACAGGUGCUAAUAUAUCACAAUAAAACCUACUGUUAUAUAUAAUUAUAACUUGCCAAUAAAAAUAAAUUAAAAAAAAACUUAUAGAAAUGCCAAGAACACCUUUCCUUUAAUUACUAUUGAAUAUUCAUGUAAGCCUGAAUUAGUAGUUGUGGGCGCUCUGGUUCCUUCUUAUCUAUUUCACUACUGC
This 2677-nucleotide long non-coding RNA is filed under the name Marmota monax (woodchuck). The record is from RNAcentral. Lineage: Eukaryota; Metazoa; Chordata; Mammalia; Rodentia; Sciuridae.